GUAUUUGAAUUAAGUAUUCAUACAGGUUUUCAGACAAAGUUGUUAAAAAUAAGAGUUGAUGUUUACAUCCUGUAGCGCAAAUGACAAGCAUUCGCGUUACAAGACAACAUUGCACACAAGGUGGAUAUGGAUUUUUAAAGAGUGCCAUAAAACACUCAUUGUGAAUGAUCCUUCCGCAGGUUCACCUACGGAAA
This 194-nucleotide unclassified non-coding RNA is filed under the name uncultured fungus. RNAcentral describes it as "sequence contains ITS1". The record is from RNAcentral. Lineage: Eukaryota; Fungi.